UACGUAGGGGGCAAGCGUUGUCCGGAUUCAUUGGGCGUAAAGAGCGUGUAGGCGGCCAGGUAGGUCGGUUGUGAAAACUGGAGGCUCAACCUUCAGACGUCGACCGAAACCAUCUGGCUAGAGUCCGGGAGAGGAGAGUGGAAUUCCUGGUGUAGCGGUGAAAUGCGCAGAUAUCAGGAAGAACACCCGUGGCGAAGGCGGGUCUCUGGACCGAGACUGACGCUGAGGCGCGAAAGCGUGGGGAGCAAACAGG
Molecule: ribosomal RNA, 253 nt
Filed under: uncultured bacterium
Lineage: Bacteria
Description: partial 16S ribosomal RNA
Rfam family: Bacterial small subunit ribosomal RNA
Source: RNAcentral